Oncorhynchus tshawytscha (Chinook salmon) is the source of this 3045-nucleotide long non-coding RNA. Lineage: Eukaryota; Metazoa; Chordata; Actinopteri; Salmoniformes; Salmonidae. The record is from Ensembl.
AAACAAGGACUUAGGAAAAUUGCAAUUGGCUCAGAACAGGGCAGCACGGCUGGUCCUUGGAUGUACACAGAGAGCUAACAUUAAUAAUAUGCAUGUCAAUCUCUCCUGGCUCAAAGUGGAAGAAAGAUUGAGUUCAUCACUGCUUGUAUUUGUAUUGACAUGUUAAAUGCACCGAGCUAUCUGUCUAAACUACUGGCACACAGCUCGGACACUCAUGCAUACCCCACAAGACAUGCCACAAGAGGUCUCUUCACAGUCCCCAAGUCCAGAACAGGCUAUGGGAGGCACACAGUACUACAUAGAGCCAUGACGACAUGGAACUCUAUUCCACAUCAAGGAACUGACACAAGCAGUAAAAUUUGAUUUAAAAAAAACACCUUAUGGAACAGCGGGGACUGUGAAGCAACACAAACACUGGCACAGACACAUGCAUACACACACACUAACAUACGCACUGUACAUACACAUGGAUUUGUUUUAGUAGAUAUGUUUUAGUGGUGGAGUAGGGGCCUGAGGGCACACAGUGUGUUGUGAAAUCUGUGAAUGUAUUUAAAAUUGUAUAAACUUUCUUAAUUUUGCUGGACCCCAGGAAGAGUAGCUGCUGCUUUGGCCAUUCCAAUAGCUCCGUUCCAGCCGUUAUUAUGAACCGUCCUCCCCUCUGCAGCCUCCACUGAUAUCUGCACAUCAAAUUCAGCAAUGUUAGAUCAACAACAGGAUCUUCGAAUUGCAGUGCUACUACUCUGAUCAAGCCACCAAAACAAGCAACCAUGCAGCCUUAUUUCACUGCCAAGCCGAGAUUUAGCUGAAAUAUGCCACCUCAUGGAAGGCUGGUACGUAGGAUCAAAAAUAUCUGUAGAGUUCAAAAGGUACUCCACUCAAGACCAUGAAAAGGCAAAACCCAAGGAGGCCGAAAUGCAAAAAUAAUGGGUAAAAUUGGUAAUAAUUUUAAGAGCAGUUGGGAGGAAAAGUUUAAUUUCCAAAAGUUUUAAGUGCUCAAAACCAUUCGUUUUGAGACAGGGGUAUCACCAAAGCUAUAUUUUUAUUAGGUAUGUUGUAACUAAUUUCCAAAGAUGCAUGACAAUCUCAAAACAUUUUUCAACAAAUUACAAUGACAACAACCGUGGCCAUUUGCAUGACAAUCGUUACCCAAAAUUCCAUAAUCGUCACAGCCCUACAUCUGGUGGACAUCGGGCAUUAUACCUUCGUCACUGCUAUCAACAGUAUGCCCCUUUAUUUUUUUAUAGCACCUUGCACUUUCACCCUUCGUAUUCUUUUGAGCAUGGAUUCAAUUAAGUGAUAUGAGUUUUAUAUGUCAUUAUAAACUGGGUGGUUCAAGCCCUGAAUGCUGAUUGGCUGACAGCCAUGGUAUAUCAGAUCGUAUACAACGGGUAUGACAAAGCAUUUAUUUUGACAACUCUAACUACGUUGGUAACCAGUUUUAUAAUAGUAAUAAGGCACCUCUGGGUUUUGUGGUAUAUCGCUAUACCAUGGCUAAGAGCUGUAUCCAGGCACUCAGCAAGGCUGGUGCCAAAGAAGCUGUGGUAUAUUGACCAUAUACCACCCCCCCCCUCCCCCUCCCCCGUGCCUUAUUGCUUAAUUAUAUAAUGACUCUUUUGUUGUUUUUUUAAUACAGCCCUUGCCUGAUGUUGGGAUAUGGAUUCCCAUGCAAGAAACCCAAAUAAUAAACCCUAAAACCCACCAGCAGGUGGUCGCUAUAAAGGUGUCCUAUACAUAGAUUUGGUUUGCUCCUAGCAGAACUCGGCAAAGUGGAGCCAACGUCUGUGCGUGCAUACUCCCUAAAGACCUAAGCUUGAAAAAUGAGUAAAACCCUAAACCCCACCAGCGGGUGGUCCCUAUAAAGGUGUCCCAUACAUACAGUUUGCUUCAAGAACUCGGCAAGGCGAACGUUUGUGCUCACAUACCGCCUAAAGACCUUCGCUUGAAAAAACGAGAGAAUAAGUGACAAUAUUAUUGUUUGUUCCUCUUGAGCCACCGUAACAACAGCCAUGCAUUUUCUCUAAAUAUUCUGAAUUAAUCUAAGAUAAAUCAAGAAAUCUGUAAUUAAUUUAGACAUUUUUGCUGAGAUCUUUGCAGACCAGCUAGCUGUUGUGUUUUCAGACAUUUUCAAUCUCUCUCUAACUCAGGCUGUUUUCCCACCUGCUUCAAGAUGUCCACUAUCAUGCCCAAGAGCGGGAAAGGGAACUGAAUGCCUUGAAGUGCACCUCCUCCCUCCCUGACACACUAGCCCCUUUCCAAUUCGCCUACCGCCCUGACAGAUCCACAGACGACGCAGGAGGCUGAAGAAAUUUGGCCUGUCCCCAAGGGCCCUCAAGUGUUCUACAGGAGCGCCAUCGAGAGCAUACUGUCAGGCUGCAUCACAGCCUGGUACAGCAACUCCACUGACGGAGUAUAGUACACUCAGGUGAACGCAUCAUUGGGUGCUCACUGACUGUCCUCCAAGACACCGACAACACCAGGUGUUGCAGGAAGGCCAAGAAGAUCAAGGACCAAAGCCACCUGUGCCACGGCCUGUUGUCCCCGCUUCCAUCACUCAGACGCGGGCAGUAUAGGAGUUUCACGGCAAAAACUGUCAGACUGAUCAAUAGCGUCUACCCCCAGACCAUCAGGCUGCUGAAUAGCCACUAGUCAGCUACCUGCUCCCCCUAUGGCAAUCCCCCCCCAUGGAUAUUUAUCAUUGUUACAGUUGUAAAUGUGUAUAUAUGCUUAUUAUUUGUAUUGUCUCAUUCAUUUCUAUUUUUUUACCUGCACUUUUGAAUCUCAGAGCAUAAUAAUUUAAUUGUACCCUGCAACUACAUCCAUGAUCCUGUGCAUGUGACUAAUAAACUAAUCUAAGUGCAGUACUUCUCAACUGAAGAAAUGUGCAUGAAAAUGUAGUGCACUGCAGACAGUAGGGCCUAGCUGCUCCUCUCGUUGAAUGGCAGCAAACACUUAAUCGAAGAAUACUGUCCAUAGUUCCCACCCCUACUGUUGACCAACUGCUACCAAACUUUGACUUGCCUCAAUAAAAAACAAUGUUGUUGCUUA